GGUGGAGCGAUUUGUCUGGUUUAUUCCGAUAACGAACGAGACUCUAGCCUACUAAAUAGACAGUACUUCUUUAGAGUGCUGCACUUCUUAGAGGGACAAGCGACGUCUAGUCGCACGAGAUUGAGCAAUAACAGGUCUGUGAUGCCCUUAGAUGUUCGGGGCUGCACGCGCGCUACACUGAAGGCAUCAUCAUGUUUAUCAACCUACCCCGGAAGGGGCGGGUAACCCGAUGAAACGCCUUCGUGAUUGGGAUAGGGAAUUGCAAUUAUUUCCCUUGAACGAGGAAUUCCCAGUAAGUGCGGGUCAUCAGCUCGCGCUGAAUACGUCCCUGCCCUUUGUAC
This 341-nucleotide ribosomal RNA is filed under the name Nematoda environmental sample. Its description in RNAcentral is "SSU rRNA". It matches the Rfam family "Eukaryotic small subunit ribosomal RNA", at positions 1300 to 1665 of the family's 1831-position model. Lineage: Eukaryota; Metazoa; Nematoda. The record is from RNAcentral.